GCCUGGAUGGCGGAAUUGGUAGACGCAGCGGACUUAAAAUCCGCCGGAUUUAACCCCGUACCGGUUCGAUUCCGGUUCCAGGCACCA
Molecule: transfer RNA, 87 nt
Filed under: Patescibacteria group bacterium
Lineage: Bacteria
Description: tRNA-Leu
Rfam family: tRNA
About the family: Transfer RNA (tRNA) molecules are approximately 80 nucleotides in length. Their secondary structure includes four short double-helical elements and three loops (D, anti-codon, and T loops).
Source: RNAcentral